CUGGCGGCGUGCUUAACACAUGCAAGUCGAACGAGAGGCGUGAGAAGAAGUUUUCGGACGGAAAUUCAUGCUUCGAGUGGCGGACGGGUGAGUAACGCGUGGGGAACCUGCCUCAUACAGGGGGAUAACAGCCGGAAACAGCUGUUAAUACCGCAUAAGACCCCAGUGCCGCAUGGCACGGGGGUAAAAACUCCGGUGGUAUGAGAUGGACCCGCGUCCGAUUAGCCAGUUGGCGGGGUAAAGGCCCACCAAAGCGACGAUCGGUAGCCGAUCUGAGAGGAUGACCGGCCACAUUGGGACUGAGACACGGCCCAAACUCCUACGGGAGGCAGCAGUGGGGAAUAUUGCACAAUGGGGGGAACCCUGAUGCAGCGACGCCGCGUGAGUGAAGAAGUAUUUCGGUAUGUAAAGCUCUAUCAGCAGGGAAGAAGAUGACGGUACCUGAGUAAGAAGCCCCGGCUAACUACGUGCCAGCAGCCGCGGU
RNAcentral lists this ribosomal RNA (484 nucleotides) under Lachnospiraceae oral clone BP1-14. RNAcentral describes it as "bacterial SSU rRNA". It matches the Rfam family "Bacterial small subunit ribosomal RNA", at positions 36 to 521 of the family's 1533-position model. Lineage: Bacteria; Bacillati; Bacillota; Clostridia; Lachnospirales; Lachnospiraceae. The record is from RNAcentral.